AUUGAACGCUGGCGGCGUGCUUAACACAUGCAAGUCGAGCGGUAACAGGCGUAGCAAUACGUGCUGACGAGCGGCGAACGGGUGCGUAAUACAUGGGAAUCUGCCCUUUGGUGGGGAAUAACCCGGCGAAAGCCGGGCUAAUGCCGCAUAAGAUCUUCGGAUGAAAGCGGGGGGUCGUAAGACCUCGCGCCGAUGGAUGAGCCCAUGUCGGAUUAGCUAGUUGGUGAGGUAACGGCUCACCAAGGCGACGAUCCGUAGCUGGUCUGAGAGGACGGCCAGCCACACUGGGACUGAGACACGGCCCAGACUCCUACGGGAGGCAGCAGUGGGGGAUAUUGGACAAUGGGGGAAACCCUGAUUCAGCGACGCCGCGUGUGUGAAGAAGGCCUGCGGGUUGUAAAGCACUUUCGAUGGGAACGAAAUGUGCCGGGCUAAUACCCCGGCAAGCUGACGUUACUCAAUGAAGAAGCACCGGCUAACUCUGUGCCAGCAGCCGCGGUAA
Molecule: ribosomal RNA, 502 nt
Filed under: uncultured bacterium
Lineage: Bacteria
Description: partial 16S ribosomal RNA
Rfam family: Bacterial small subunit ribosomal RNA
Source: RNAcentral